This is a long non-coding RNA of Brassica rapa (field mustard), 5046 nucleotides long. RefSeq lists it as uncharacterized. NCBI's taxonomy places the organism in Eukaryota, Viridiplantae, Streptophyta, Magnoliopsida, Brassicales, Brassicaceae. The record is from RefSeq and is a predicted model, not a curated record.
CCUUUUAAAAUGUUACAAAUAUAGUUUAUAACUUUAUAAGAAUUCAAUCAAACCAAAAUUAACUAAAUAAAAAAAAAAAACAAUAUUUUUGUCUCUUAAGAAUUAAAAAAAGCAUGUAAUAAGUCAUCUUCCAUGUGAUAUCAUCAAAAAAAGCUGCAACGAAUCAAUAAUUAGUAUAUGUUAUAUAUAUACUAUACGAGUAUUUAUCUAUAUUUUUACUAUAACUCUACACCCAUGAUUCCAUAUUGUUCUUUUCACUAACAAAAAUUGAAAACAGAACACGUCUUUGAGAGAAAUACAAUAAUGGUUACACAAAAGCAUGAAACCGUAUAAUAAAUUAUAUUAGUUUCAUGGAAAUCAAAUUAUAUUAGGAUUUUCUUAGUGUAAAAGAAAAUUACGUGGGCUUAAUCUUAAGAUUUUAAUUUACUAAUAUUUUUAAUUUAAAUAACUAUAAAACACUUCGGUUUAUCGGUUCGGUUCGGUUUAAACUGAACUGAACUGAACCGUUCGGGUUGGGAAAAUCUUCAACCGAAUGAUUUGAAAUAAACUUUGAUUUGGUUCGAAUCAGUUUCGGUUCAGUCGGUUCAGUUUGAUCGGUUCGGUUCGAUUUUUUUGCCCACCCCUAAAAAAAAUCCUAAAACAUGGGGAUAAUAAAUCAAUCAAAUUGGUGAAAGUAAAGUAAACAACAAGGCAUAACCAAGAUACGGAUAUACAGAAAAAUAAGUGAAAGGAACAAAUGAGAGAUCUCGUGAUCCAAGAUGAUGAUUUAAUGUCAUUUUUCUGACAUUAUUAGCUUUUGCUUUUAUUUCUGCAUUAAAUCUAUCCCGCACCUAACAGCCUAACAUUUUUGUUUGUUUUUGCACAUUAGUAUAAGACAAAUUCUCAUCUCAAAAUUACAAUUUCUAGCAACGCAUCAUAUCAAAUGCUGCAAGUUCUUUUUUAUUUUUGUGUUUUUUGAAGAUUUUUUUUCUUUUUGAAAAAGUUUUGUUGAAGCUUUUGAAAGUGAUAGUUUUCAUCUUUUUCUUUCUAAAUUGAAAAUUUUCCGCCCCCACCGGCCAAAAGAGGAUACCAAUUAUCAAGAGCGAGAAGAGCAAGAUGUUCCAAACAACAUUAUGACGAGGGGGUAUACACGGAAGAUGUCCAGAAGAAAUAAAAAAUGAUUAAACUAAAAAAAGUAUAUUAAAUUUUGAGAUGGAUUGUGCAAAUUCUUUGAAAAUAACCAAAGAUCUAAUAGACUAAGUUUCUUUGGAUACUUUGGCCAAAAAAAAUAUCUUUUAGCUUGGAAUAAAGAUUUUUAUUUUUAUGAUUUUAUAAUUGAUUUAAAUUUUUUAGUUUAUUUAGAAUUUUGUGUAACUUAAAUGUUUAUACGGAUUCUCUAUUUAUUGAAAUGCACACAAAAUUAUUUAUUAUUUUGAGUUAAUUAUAAUUUGUCGGUAAUAAUUGUUCUCUAGAAAUAGUUCUACAGACUAAACUAAAUUUAAAUUAAAAUAUAAAAUCAUUAUACAACAAAAUUAGGUAUAUAAAAGAGAAAUUUAAAACUAUUUUUUUUCUAAAAAAAAUUCUUAAGCAUAUAAAAUUUAAAGAAAAAGUGGAUCCACCAACUUUAUAUUCACUGAUCUAUACUAUUUAUUUAUGAAGUGAUUUUGCUUAUUUGUCAUGUUUUCCAUGAUUUUAUGUAAUUUUGUUUAUUUGUCAUGUUUUAAAGGUUUAAACUGAGUCAUUAAUUUAUUAAUAAUUUUUUAGCUGAGUUAAUAAUUUAUUAAUUUAAAUAAUAUAACUAUGAAAUUUGUAACUAGAUAUAUAAUUAUUUUGAUAUUGGUUAUGUGUCAUGUUUUCCAUGGUUUUAGUUAGUUUUUCUUAUUUUUCAUAUUUUUAUUAGGUUAUAGCUUUUAAAAAUCACAACUCUUAAAAUAACCUACAUCUGUACAAGUGAUUUGUAGAGCUAAAUAUCCACAUCAAUUUUUGAGCUUUCCAUAAAGUUCUACAGCAAAAUCUGAAGCCACAGCAAAAAGUCUACAUGUUUUUUCUACGGCAAAAAAAUUAAAGCUACAAUCAUUACCAAUCGGACCCUAGAUAUAUAAUUAUUUUGAUUUUGUUUAUUUGUCAUGUUCUCCAUGAUUUUAGUUAAUUUUACUAAUUUGUUAUGUUUUUAUUAGGAUUUAGCUAAAUUAUUAAUUUAUUAUUAUUUUUCUCUAAGUCAUUAAUUUAUCAAUUUAAAUAAUAUAACUAUUUCAAGCUUUGUAAUUAGAUAUAUAAUUGUUAAAUAAAUUUUGUAACUUUGACGAGUUAGAACUAAUUCUUAUUAUUUUGUUUUAAAAUCAUAUUUGUUACUGGUAAUUUUAAAUCAUAUUUGUUACCAGAUGUGGAACAUAAUCUAUUUUUAUUGUACUUUAUAGUUUAAUGAUAUAAAUAAUGUUUAAGUGAUAUUUAUCUUAGUCUAUGUCGUAUUAUAGUUAUAGUAGUAUGUAAAUGCUAAUACAAAGAAUUAUGAUGCCGCCUUUAUCUUAGUACCCACUUUAAUAAUGUAUUAUAAUAAUUUGCCAAUUCUAUGCCAUGAUAGUAAUAUAUUCUCAUCAUACGUUUGAUGGGAAAUACACACAAAACUUCAUCUUUGAAUAAUAUGAAACAUUUUCAAAUGUUGCCUUUUUGAAAAAAAAACCCCAUUUCACUUUUCUUAUUAGAGUUAUUGAGUCGGCUAAAGAUUGCUAUAAAAUUAUAGUAAAAAUGUUGAUACUUUAGAAUCAUGAAAAAAUCAAAAUUUGUUUUAAUUGAAUUGGUGUUGGUUGAUGCCGUUGUAAAUAUAUUAAUUUAUUUUGUUAUUGAUUCACAUUAAUUAUAUGAUUUUUUGUUAGUCACUUAUUUGAAAUUUAAUUUGUAGAGAACUAGGACUCGUGCUUCUAUUGACUUGUCUUUUGGUAAUUUUUGAUAUACAUUAUCUUAAGGGGAUUCUUUUAUUCUGCAUAAUUUCAUUUUCGUUGAUUAUAUCAUAAAAUAUAACAAUUCCUCUGCUUUUAAAGAUAAAUUUCUAUAUAACAACCCAAGUCAUAUUUUGUGAUGAUUUUCCAAAAGAGUCAACAAAUAAUGAUAAUUCAAAGAAUUUAAAAAAAUAUUGGAAUGUCAAUAUGGAAAAGGAAUAUUUAGUCGGUAUAUUUUCUAUAUUUUAUUUUGUUUUUAUUCAUGUGUCUUAUUUAUGAUAUGUUUGUUAACGAAUUUUUCUUUCUAAUGUUUUGUGUUUUAGAUAUUAUUGACGAAAUUGUGAAUGUUGAACCUUUAAAAUAUCUCAUUGAAGAAGGAAAAUAUUUAACUACUAUUUGUGACACAAUGUAAAUUUUAUUCAAAGUUUAAUUUAAUUUAACAUUGUUAUAUUUUUAUAACAUGACACUAAUUUAAAUUUUUUUAAUAUUUAGCAAUACAUGUUUAACAUGCACAUUGGGUCUUGAUAUGCAAGUAUCAGAUUUCUUUAAAAUGAUCAUGAAAAUCAAUGUGGUAUGUAUUAUUGAGUUUUAUUCAAGUUAUCUACAUAGUUCUGUGGCCAAGAACAUGUACUAAUAAAAUAAAGAUUUUUUUUCAGAUUGAGUGUGUUUGCACUUAAACCAUUUUUUUAAAUUAGACUCUUUAAUAUUAAAAAAAUUAUGUUAAAUUAAGAUUCAAUUUCUAAAUAGAAGAAUCAUCUAUAAACAAUACAUAAAAAAAUUUCACACAAUAAACAAUUGAGAUUUGGUUAAAAAUACCAAAAACACACAAAAGAAAUAAUAUUUAUAUCUAAUUAAAUACAUUAGCAUAAAUAUAAAAAUAAUAUUCUCUCCGUUACAAAAUGAUACAUGUUUUAGCUUUUUCACACGGAUUAAUAAAAUAUACUUCCUUAUGUUUCAUAAUAAGUGUCAUUUUAACAUUUUUGUUGUCAUAAAAAACGUCACUUUACAAUUCCAAAGAAAAUUAUACUUGUUUUCACCUGAAAAUUAUUAAAAAACUGCAUUGAUUUUAUAAAUAUAAUUUUAUUUAUCUCAAAUACUAUUGGCCAGAGAGGUAUAAUUAAUAACAACUUACAUAUAUUCCGUCACUUUCUUAAUUUGUAUGAAAAAUAUCAUAAUAACACUUAUUUAGAAACAGAGGGAGUAUUAAAUUUCAAUAUUAAUUGCAUAAUUUUUUGUGAUUGUCUAUUUCCUAUAAUUUUAAACCAAUAAAAAUUUAGAAAAUACAAUUAGUUUACAAUUAGUCAUUAUUAGUUGUUAAAAAAGUGCAUUGGAAAUUAAAAAAAUCUAUCAUUUUGAAAUUUUUUUUUUUUAAAUAUGUAUCUUUUUGAAAGAGAUAGAGUAUUAAAAUAAAAUUAUUAAAAAAUAUAUAUUAGCUCGCUUUGCUUCGCACAAAGCUAGCCCACACCUGGUAAAAAAAUGAUUAAAAGGGGAAGAAACAAAAAAGGAGAGCUUAAAAGGACUUAUUGAAUCGACAAGUCCCGAUCGUGAGUUAAGAGAUAGGCUUGAAGAUAUGCGAGGCAUUUAUGACGCGUGGAUAACACGUUUCCAUCAGUCGAUCACACAGUCAUACUCUUUUUGUCAAGGCAAUAUGAAUCCUUCUGUUUUUUGAUUAAACAUGAGAAGUGUCCAGGCCGAAGCCCAGCUAAUUAUAUUCAUGUGGAUUGGUCCAUCGUGGUCGUCUAAUAGUUUUUACUUCUGUUUCGUAGGUGUUUUCUUUAAGGUGGUGUGGUCUUUUCCAUCUUCAAGCUUGUGUUUCUCGCACUUAUGCGGACAAGGGAGCAGUGAGAAGUUCGAUGUUAUUUUUAUGCGUACGUGGUUUGAUGCGGGUUUGUAAUCUCGUGUGUGAUUUGAUUCUUAGCCUGCUUGACCUAUCCUUUUCGGUUUGUUUUUACUGUUUUUAUCAUGUCUCCCACGGGAUAUGGUCUCUAAGGACUUUAAUGUAGUCCGUUGGCGUAGAAUCGAACCUAUGUAUCCAGGGUCGGCUCAAGAAAAUUAUGGGCCCUUGGACAAAAUAGUUUUUCAAAAAAAAAAAUUUACAUAUACUUUAUGGAUAACAUAAAAAUUUUGGGUU